This is a long non-coding RNA of Stegastes partitus (bicolor damselfish), 112 nucleotides long. RefSeq lists it as uncharacterized. Lineage: Eukaryota; Metazoa; Chordata; Actinopteri; Pomacentridae. The transcript has 3 exons. The record is from RefSeq and is a predicted model, not a curated record.
AGAUGAUCUGGAGAGAGAAUUCUCACCUUCAUUAGAUAUGAUCGCUGCUUUGUCCAGUUUGGUUCUGAUGUCGUCUUUGACACCAGACAGAUGAAACACACAGUUGUAUCUC